GCCAGGUACAGUGGCGUACCUGUGGUCCCAGCUACUCAGGAGGCUGAGUUGGGAGGAUCGCUUGAGCCCAGGAGGUCAGUGCUGCAGUGAGCGAUGAUCUGUUGCCACUGCACUCCAGCCUGGGCAACAGAGCAAGACCCCAUCUCUG
This 148-nucleotide signal recognition particle RNA is filed under the name Gorilla gorilla gorilla (western lowland gorilla). RNAcentral describes it as "Metazoan signal recognition particle RNA". It matches the Rfam family "Metazoan signal recognition particle RNA". From Rfam's summary of the family: The signal recognition particle (SRP) is a universally conserved ribonucleoprotein. It is involved in the co-translational targeting of proteins to membranes. Lineage: Eukaryota; Metazoa; Chordata; Mammalia; Primates; Hominidae. The record is from Rfam by way of RNAcentral.